CUAGCUGGUCUGAGAGGAUGACCAGCCACACUGGAACUGAGACACGGUCCAGACUCCUACGGGAGGCAGCAGUGGGGAAUAUUGCACAAUGGGCGCAAGCCUGAUGCAGCCAUGCCGCGUGUAUGAAGAAGGCCUUCGGGUUGUAAAGUACUUUCAGCGGGGAGGAAGGGAGUAAAGUUAAUACCUUUGCUCAUUGACGUUACCCGCAGAAGAAGCACCGGCUAACUCCGUGCCAGCAGCCGCGGUAAUACGGAGGGUGCAAGCGUUAAUCGGAAUUACUGGGCGUAAAGCGCACGCAGGCGGUUUGUUAAGUCAGAUGUGAAAUCCCCGGGCUCAACCUGGGAACUGCAUCUGAUACUGGCAAGCUUGAGUCUCGUAGAGGGGGGUAGAAUUCCAGGUGUAGCGGUGAAAUGCGUAGAGAUCUGGAGGAAUACCGGUGGCGAAGGCGGCCCCCUGGACGAAGACUGACGCUCAGGUGCGAAAGCGUGGGGAGCAAACAGGAUUAGA
This 507-nucleotide ribosomal RNA is filed under the name Escherichia coli O25b:H4-ST131. RNAcentral describes it as "bacterial SSU rRNA". It matches the Rfam family "Bacterial small subunit ribosomal RNA", at positions 283 to 782 of the family's 1533-position model. Lineage: Bacteria; Pseudomonadati; Pseudomonadota; Gammaproteobacteria; Enterobacterales; Enterobacteriaceae. The record is from RNAcentral.